Molecule: non-coding RNA, 371 nt
Organism: Nitrospirae bacterium 13_2_20CM_2_61_4
Lineage: Bacteria; Pseudomonadati; Nitrospirota
Source: Rfam
AUUUUCGAGAGUUUGAUCCUGGCUCAGAACGAACGCUGGCGGCGCGCCUAACACAUGCAAGUCGAACGAGAAGGCGUAGCAAUACGCUUGUAAAGUGGCAAACGGGUGAGUAAUGCAUGGGUAACCUACCCUCUGGUGGGGGAUAACUCCCCGAAAGGGGUGCUAAUACCGACUAUACGCACCGGCCUCGCAAGGGGCUGGUGGAAAGCCGAGCCGAGGGUUCGGCACCGGAGGAUGGGCUCAUGUCCUAUCAGCUUGUUGGCGGGGUAAUGGCCCACCAAGGCUACGACGGGUAGCUGGUCUGAGAGGACGACCAGCCACACUGGCACUGCGACACGGGCCAGACUCCUACGGGAGGCAGCAGUGAGGAA